This 274-nucleotide ribosomal RNA is filed under the name uncultured bacterium. Its description in RNAcentral is "partial 16S ribosomal RNA". It matches the Rfam family "Bacterial small subunit ribosomal RNA", at positions 523 to 796 of the family's 1533-position model. The record is from RNAcentral.
AUACGGAUGGUGCGAGCGUUGUUCGGAAUUACUGGGCGUAAAGGGCGCGUAGGCGGCGAUGUAAGUCAAAUGUGAAAGUCCUCGGCUUAACCGGGGAAGUGCAUCUGAAACUGCAUUGCUAGAGUAUGGGAGAGGAAAGUGGAAUUCCCGGUGUAGAGGUGAAAUUCGUAGAGAUCGGGAGGAAUACCGGUGGCGAAGGCGACUUUCUGGACCAAUACUGACGCUGAGGCGCGAAAGCGUGGGGAGCAAACAGGAUUAGAUACCCUAGUAGUCC